This is a long non-coding RNA of Populus trichocarpa (black cottonwood), 1678 nucleotides long. RefSeq lists it as uncharacterized. The record is from RefSeq and is a predicted model, not a curated record. The transcript has 2 exons. Lineage: Eukaryota; Viridiplantae; Streptophyta; Magnoliopsida; Malpighiales; Salicaceae.
UUGAGGUAUGCACGCUCUUUCCUAAUGCCUAGAUUGAACCUUAAUUGUUUCAUGACAGGACGGGUUGAAACUUGAAUGUUGACUAAUGUUUACUUAUGUUGCAGACUCAGUUCAUUCACAAUUAUUGCUCAGUUGUGUUCGACAACCUUCAGCACUCGGUCAUUAAUGUGAAUAGUUGUCUGAAGGACUAUCACUUUCUAGUUUUAGCAUACAUUCUCAGAAGAUCACCUAAUUUAGAGACCCUAUCCUUCUUGUGUAGUGAAAAUGUAAUGCAACCUAAGUAUGCCACGGUGGGUGGUUGAGAAAUUAUUAGGACUUCCCUUUCCAUGCUGGCUACACAUUCCUUUACCUCAUAAUUUCGAUAUUUCUUUUUCAGACAUUGAAGUUUUGGAUAUCCAAGUUCUGUAAACAGCACGAAGGAUUUCAUAACCAAAUUGGUCAUCAACUGCAAGCCAUAAAAAUAAAGUUGAAGGGAAAAGGUCAUCAGGUUGUUGCAGUGGAAAAUCUGCUUAAGAUUUUAAAAGGUUUGAAAAAGAUGACAUCAUCUGCUCAAAAGCAAACCUAAGCCAAGUGUCGAAGAUUGGGUUAUGUGAAUCCAGGAAAGCUUCUCUACCGUUCGGAUUGAGUUCAGUUGAGAAAGAAUUUUAUGUUGAAGAACACCACAGGAUUGAUUCCGGUCACAAAUUGAAUUUAGCCAAGAAACAACAUUAUUUUGAAGAUUCAGGCGAUGAAUGGAUUUAGUGAGCGACGCAGUUUUCCAUUUACUAGCUUUUUGGUCUUUUUUGAUUGCUGUUUUCUUUAAAGUAAAGCCACAAUGUUAUUAUUGUUUGAGGUCAAUUUGAUGAUGCAUUCUCCUUUCCUUGAGUGAAUAAUUUCAUGAUAGUUGGAAUUAUUCAUGACUUUACUCCACAUGAGUAUCGAUUUAUAAGCGUGAGGGAAAGCCUCACCUUUUAAGCUAGCUUUUGAGAAAGAGAUAGGUCCAAUACCACCUAUCAAUUGGUAUUAGCGCCGCGCGGCCAGGUUUACCAACAAAUCUAGAUCCUAUAGUCUAGGAGAGAAAUGAGUCAUCUUAGCUCCGAUCCAAGGCUCGAGAUACUAUUGGAGGUGUCUCCCUUUCGGCUGUGAGAGAGGCUGGCGGUCAAUUUACAAGUGCGAGAGAAAACCUCACAUCUCAAGAUAGCUUCUGAGGGAAAGACACAUGUCCAAGGCCACCUAUUAACGAAAAUCAAUGGCUUUUUCAAGUUAGCUGCUCAUCUUCCAUGCUUGUAUAGCUAUGAAAAGGGACCCUCUUCUUCUUUUUGUAAUCUCUUGAAUUUGGUUAGUUGGGUUCUCUCACUUGAAUGUUUGUUUGACCUGAGCAUCGCAAAAGAGCUUCUAAAGGCAAUCCUGGUUAUCCAGGAGGCGGCAGUGAUGAUGCCAGGAAUCUGAGGCGGCCAUGCGGGUUGGCUAUAGAUGUUCAAGCCACCCGCAAAACAAGGAAGUCCUCCUCCUUGUUUCUGUGUGAGAGCAGCCUCGGUGGUGCUGAUGGAAAAAUGCGACUGUGCAGUGGGACACCAAAUUUCCUUGUUCCAUGCCAAGAAUUAAGAGUUCUGCUGCGGCUACCUAGGCCAUGUGUUCUGUGUCGCUCUCUUUUAAUCUUGUAGUGAUGAUCUUAUUCUAAUGUUCUUAUCGCUUUUAA